CCUACGGGUGGCAGCAGUGGGGGAUAUUGCACAAUGGGGGAAACCCUGAUGCAGCGACGCCGCGUGGGUGAAGAAGCGCCUCGGCGCGUAAAGCCCUGUCAGCCGGGCAGAAAAUGACGGUAGCUGAAGAUGAAGCCACGGCUAAAUACGUGCCAGCAGCCGCGGUAAUACGUCGGGGGCCCGCGUUCUCCGGUUUUAAUGGUUGGACAGGGGGCGCAGACGGCGAUGCAAGCCAGGAGUGAAAGACCGGGGCCCAACCCCGGGACGGCUCUUGGACCUGCGUGGCGAGAGUGCAGGAGGGGCAAGCGGAAUUCCAGGUGUAGCGGUGAAAUGCGUAGAUAUCAGGAGGAACACCGGUGGCGAAGGCGGCCUGCUGGACUACAACUGACGUUGAGGCCCGAAAGCGUGGGGAGCAAACAGGAUUAGAUACCCCAGUAGUC
RNAcentral lists this ribosomal RNA (440 nucleotides) under uncultured bacterium. RNAcentral's name for it is "partial 16S ribosomal RNA". It matches the Rfam family "Bacterial small subunit ribosomal RNA", at positions 338 to 795 of the family's 1533-position model. The record is from RNAcentral.